UACAGAGGUCUCAAGCGUUGUUCGGAUUCAUUGGGCGUAAAGGGUGCGUAGGCGGCGCGGUAAGUCGGGUGUGAAAUCUCGGAGCUUAACUCCGAAACUGCAUUCGAUACUGCCGUGCUUGAGGACUGGAGAGGAGACUGGAAUUUACGGUGUAGCGGUGAAAUGCGUAGAUAUCAAGAGGAACACCUGCGGCGAAGGCGGGUUGCUGGGCCGACACUGACGCUGAGGCGCGAAAGCUAGGGGGAGCGAACGGG
This 254-nucleotide ribosomal RNA is filed under the name uncultured bacterium. RNAcentral's name for it is "partial 16S ribosomal RNA". It matches the Rfam family "Bacterial small subunit ribosomal RNA", at positions 524 to 776 of the family's 1533-position model. The record is from RNAcentral.